RNAcentral lists this ribosomal RNA (440 nucleotides) under uncultured bacterium. RNAcentral describes it as "bacterial SSU rRNA". It matches the Rfam family "Bacterial small subunit ribosomal RNA", at positions 958 to 1397 of the family's 1533-position model. The record is from RNAcentral.
AACGCGAAGAACCUUACCUGGGUUUGACAUCCUCUGACAAACGGAGAGAUCCGUCUUUCGUAGCAAUACGACAGAGAGACAGGUGCUGCAUGGCUGUCGUCAGCUCGUGUGGUGACAUGUUGGGUUAAGUCCCGCAACGAGCGCAACCCCUGUCCUUAGUUGCCAGCAUUCAGUUGGGCACUCUAGGGAGACUGCCGUGGUGAACACGGAGGAAGGUGGGGAUGACGUCAAGUCCUCAUGGCCUUUAUAUCCAGGGCGACACACGUGAUACAAUGGACGGUACAGAGGGUAGCGAAGGAGCGAUCUGGAGCUAAUCCCAAAAAGCCGUUCUCAGUUCGGAUUGGAGUCUGCAAUUCGACUCCAUGAAGUUGGAAUCGCUAGUAAUCGCGGAUCAGCACGCCGCGGUGAAUACGUUCCCGGGCCUUGUACACACGUGUCGA